AGCGAACGCUGGCGGCAGGCUUAACACAUGCAAGUCGAGCGGGCCCUUCGGGGUCAGCGGCAGACGGGUGAGUAACACGUGGGAACGUACCCUUUGGUUCGGAAUAACGCUGGGAAACUAGCGCUAAUACCGGAUACGCUCUUUUGGGGAAAGGCUUGCUGCCGAAGGAUCGGCCCGCGUCUGAUUAGCUCGUUGGUGGGGUAAUGGCCUACCAAGGCGACGAUCAGUAGCUGGUCUGAGAGGAUGAUCAGCCACACUGGGACUGAGACACGGCCCAGACUCCUACGGGAGGCAGCAGUGGGGAAUAUUGGACAAUGGGCGCAAGCCUGAUCCAGCCAUGCCGCGUGAGUGAUGAAGGCCUUAGGGUUGUAAAGCUCUUUUGUCCGGGACGAUAAUGACGGUACCGGAAGAAUAAGCCCCGGCUAACUUCGUG
This 433-nucleotide ribosomal RNA is filed under the name uncultured bacterium. RNAcentral describes it as "partial 16S ribosomal RNA". It matches the Rfam family "Bacterial small subunit ribosomal RNA", at positions 29 to 507 of the family's 1533-position model. The record is from RNAcentral.